AUUAAUACUUCGAGUAAAUUCUUACUAACUUGUAUGUACCUCAAGUUAAUGGCCAUUCUCCUAAAUUGGGCGAUGUUGAAGCUGAACAUCACAUUGCUGAACAUUCUUGAAAGUUGAACAUCAUAUGAAUUCAGGAGUACAAAGAUACCAUACUAAAGAAAAAAUCACAAAUUCUCAAAUUUCACAAAAUAAUAUAACCCCAAAUUGUUUUAGCAUGAACUCAUUAUACUUUAAUUUGAUACCAUUUCAAGUUGGUGCUCUUACGCUUCACGAGAAAAAUAAGAAGCUAAUCUUCAUUUACAAAUUUUGUGUAUAUUUAGAAGUAGAAAAACUUCCAACUUUAGCAGCGGAGGAAAUAAUUUGUACCAUAUUUUGAACAUUAGCCGGGGAGAUAAUGCAAGAUGACAAAAGAAUUGUGUCACAAAGCUCAUUUUUUAGAACAGAUUUAAACAAAGUAGAUCUGCAAAAGUCAGACUGCAAAAACAUUUAUGAAAUAAAAAAGAAAGAAAAAUCCUAAAAAUAAAAAAACCAUGGGUAGUACUAAACCAAUUCAAAAGACAAUCAAACUAAAAAUGUUGAGAAAAUCUGAAAUCAAGCAAAACUCAGUGUUGCAUAUAAUGUAAAGACUUCAAAAGUAAAAGGUUGAAGAAGAAAACUCACUACAACACUCGAAGGGUAUGAAUACAACCAAGUGAGAAAUGUAUAGUGAGGUUUUGAGAUUUGGGGAUUUAGGGUUUUACAACUUCGAGAGAGAUGAAGGAUAUUUUGAUAGAACAACGUCUUUUUAAUUAG
Molecule: long non-coding RNA, 792 nt
Filed under: Nicotiana tabacum (common tobacco)
Lineage: Eukaryota; Viridiplantae; Streptophyta; Magnoliopsida; Solanales; Solanaceae
Description: long non-coding RNA (NTAB_LNC012788)
Source: RNAcentral